Molecule: unclassified non-coding RNA, 515 nt
Filed under: Alternaria destruens
Lineage: Eukaryota; Fungi; Ascomycota; Dothideomycetes; Pleosporales; Pleosporaceae
Description: sequence contains 18S rRNA gene, ITS1, 5.8S rRNA gene, ITS2, 28S rRNA gene
Rfam family: 5.8S ribosomal RNA (bases 207-360)
Source: RNAcentral
GUAACAAGGUCUCCGUAGGUGAACCUGCGGAGGGAUCAUUACACAAAUAUGAAGGCGGGCUGGAACCUCUCGGGGUUACAGCCUUGCUGAAUUAUUCACCCUUGUCUUUUGCGUACUUCUUGUUUCCUUGGUGGGUUCGCCCACCACUAGGACAAACAUAAACCUUUUGUAAUUGCAAUCAGCGUCAGUAACAAAUUAAUAAUUACAACUUUCAACAACGGAUCUCUUGGUUCUGGCAUCGAUGAAGAACGCAGCGAAAUGCGAUAAGUAGUGUGAAUUGCAGAAUUCAGUGAAUCAUCGAAUCUUUGAACGCACAUUGCGCCCUUUGGUAUUCCAAAGGGCAUGCCUGUUCGAGCGUCAUUUGUACCCUCAAGCUUUGCUUGGUGUUGGGCGUCUUGUCUCUAGCUUUGCUGGAGACUCGCCUUAAAGUAAUUGGCAGCCGGCCUACUGGUUUCGGAGCGCAGCACAAGUCGCACUCUCUAUCAGCAAAGGUCUAGCAUCCAUUAAGCCUUUUU